Triticum urartu is the source of this 51-nucleotide non-coding RNA. The record is from Rfam. NCBI's taxonomy places the organism in Eukaryota, Viridiplantae, Streptophyta, Magnoliopsida, Poales, Poaceae.
GUGAGCCGCAUGCGGGGAGACCCGCACGUACGGUUUUCAGGGGGAUCCGGC